CAGUCGCCGCGGUAAGACAGAGGAUGCAAGCGUUAUCCGGAAUGAUUGGGCGUAAAGCGUCUGUAGGUGGCUUUUCAAGUCCGCCGUCAAAUCCCAGGGCUCAACCCUGGACAGGCGGUGGAAACUACCAAGCUGGAGUACGGUAGGGGCAGAGGGAAUUUCCGGUGGAGCGGUGAAAUGCGUAGAGAUGUGGAGGAACACCAGUGGCGAAGGCGACUCUCUGGUCUGUAACUGACGCUGGGGAGCGAAAGCGUGGGGAGCGAACAGGAUUAGAUACCCCCGUAGUCCCUGUCUCUUAUAC
RNAcentral lists this ribosomal RNA (301 nucleotides) under uncultured bacterium. RNAcentral describes it as "partial 16S ribosomal RNA". It matches the Rfam family "Bacterial small subunit ribosomal RNA", at positions 509 to 807 of the family's 1533-position model. The record is from RNAcentral.